This 252-nucleotide unclassified non-coding RNA is filed under the name Hevea brasiliensis (rubber tree). Lineage: Eukaryota; Viridiplantae; Streptophyta; Magnoliopsida; Malpighiales; Euphorbiaceae. The record is from RNAcentral.
UUGCUUGUACGAGUCCUUGUUCUUUGAGUUGUAUUCAAUCUCCGCCUUGCGAACACCUUUUAUAGCAAUCAUAAGCUUUUUCCCAAUUAGAUCCUCCAAGACAUCGUCUUUCUCCAGAGCUUCUAGAGACUCAGAAAGGGAUUUGGGCAAUCUUUUUAGUUUUGCAUCUAGAUAAGAAGGAUUGGUAUCAACAGGUUCAGGCAGAGAAAGAUGCCUUCUAAGGCCAUCAAUGCCCGCUGCAAGUAUAGCCGC